CCUUACCUCUAGUUGCCAGCGGUUCGGCCGGGAACUCUAGAGGGACUGCCCGGGUUAACCGGGAGGAAGGUGGGGAUGAUGUCAAGUCCUCAUGGCCCUUAUGUCCAGGGCUACACACGUGCUACAAUGGGCGAUACAAACCGUUGCAAAGUCGCGAGAUGGAGCCAAUCGGAGAAAGUCGCCCUCAGUUCGGAUUGCAGUCUGCAACUCGACUGCAUGAAGGUGGAAUCGCUAGUAAUCGUGUAUCAGAAUGAUACGGUGAAUA
This 265-nucleotide ribosomal RNA is filed under the name uncultured bacterium. Its description in RNAcentral is "partial 16S ribosomal RNA". It matches the Rfam family "Bacterial small subunit ribosomal RNA", at positions 1103 to 1368 of the family's 1533-position model. The record is from RNAcentral.